GGCGAACGCUGGCGGCGUGCUUAACACAUGCAAGUCGAACGGAAAGGCCCUGCUUUUGUGGGGUGCUCGAGUGGCGAACGGGUGAGUAACACGUGAGUAACCUGCCCUUGACUUUGGGAUAACUUCAGGAAACUGGGGCUAAUACCGGAUAGGAGCUCCUGCUGCAUGGUGGGGGUUGGAAAGUUUCGGCGGUUGGGGAUGGACUCGCGGCUUAUCAGCUUGUUGGUGGGGUAGUGGCUUACCAAGGCUUUGACGGGUAGCCGGCCUGGGAGGGUGACCGGCCACAUUGGGACUGAGAUACGGCCCAGACUCCUACGGGAGGCAGCAGUGGGGAAUAUUGCACAAUGGGCGGAAGCCUGAUGCAGCAACGCCGCGUGCGGGAUGACGGCCUUCGGGUUGUAAACCGCUUUCGCCUGUGACGAAGCGUGAGUGACGGUAAUGGGUAAAGAAGCACCGGCUAACUACGUG
This 468-nucleotide ribosomal RNA is filed under the name uncultured bacterium. RNAcentral describes it as "partial 16S ribosomal RNA". It matches the Rfam family "Bacterial small subunit ribosomal RNA", at positions 28 to 507 of the family's 1533-position model. The record is from RNAcentral.